This is a long non-coding RNA of Papaver somniferum (opium poppy), 6145 nucleotides long. RefSeq lists it as uncharacterized. NCBI's taxonomy places the organism in Eukaryota, Viridiplantae, Streptophyta, Magnoliopsida, Ranunculales, Papaveraceae. The record is from RefSeq and is a predicted model, not a curated record. The transcript has 7 exons.
CAUGGGUGCAUCAUGAGGUAUCUCCUCUGCUGAAACUGUUAGCCCAUCAAUUUAGGUGGAUCAUACACUUGGGGAAGGUCCUGCACUGAGUGGCCGAUGAGAAGGAAACUACUAGCUGACUGACAAAAUGUAAAGCUGAAGAUGGUUUGGCUGGUUAAGCAGAAGAAAACAAAGAUGAAUAAACUUCACAAAACCAAAAGACUUUUUCCUAGCACUAAGGAUGUUCGUUUCAGUACUUUGUUAAGAGGGCGUAACAGAUUGGAGCACUAUAGAUGUCGCCCAAUAAUCGCCACGUUUGAAAGUUUACUUGAAGGAUCUACUUAAGGAUUGCAUACUCUGGGUGAUACCCAUUUUAGUGGUUUUCCAUACGGUACUCCUGUGAAGUAUCUGAGCUUGUGGCGUUGAGGUGCUGGAUUUGAUGUGGGGAAGCAGAUUUAGGAGUAUUAAUUCCUUAAGUUCCUCCAGAAGGAAGAACCUUGCUAGACAAUCAAGAACUGAUAGUUCAGCAGAUAACCGAGAAGGUCUGAGAAAUAGUCGAAGUGGGGAUUUUUCCUCUGAUGUUGAGAUUGUGCAAUCUCAUGGCAGCAAUCUCUGCAGAAGCGCAAGAGUUAAGGAAGCAGGACAGCGGAGGCUGUGAGUCCUAUUGACCUAAUGAUGGACUUCCGGUUCAGUUUGAAGAUCUCUUCCUUACCUGUUCAGGGAAGGUUGAUUCUUGACCAUCAUAUCAUGAUAGGAGCCGUAUCUGGCCUGUUGGUUACAGAUCUAGUUGGCAUGAUAAGGUAACCGGAUCUCUUUUUAUACUGGAUCGGCGGAAGCUCUGGACCAAUCUUCAAGGUCAGACUAUGCUUGCCUCUGCAAUCAGUCAUACCUGAUGCAUCAAAUAGUCCUACUGAGACAAAUUGAAUUCUUGGUCAGUCCGAAGCUGAAAUCUAAGUAGAAAGUGAAUUUGUCAUUUUGUCAGAAGCUAGUGAUUUCGAGGACGCCAACAUUCAGGAUGAAGUUGUUGGAUUUUUUGCUGAAGGAAGGUCAUCAUCUUCGGUGUUGGGUAAGGUCUCUGCGAUGUUUGUUGGUGUAUAAAAGUAAGUCAAACAAGACUCUGGCAAACACAUUCACAGGAAUCAAGUAAACAGCUAAAAUUUAGACAAAAAUCAAUGAAGUGUGGAUUCCCAGGGUGGUAAUCUUUUAAGAAUUCUUGCAGUGUUCAGUUCUAUCGUACCCAUGAGUCAGAUGGUAAUCUGUUACAGAUGCCAAGGACAGGAAUGGUAUUGGUUCCCUGUCCUCUUUUUAGGUUGCCUCAAUAAUAAAUGACCGUGUCUAAAUAGAGAGUCUGCCUUAGCCAAAUCCAUGCAGCUAAGCACGUGUCACAACGAAACGGAGAAAACUAGGUUAACAAAUUUAUAGUUUGGGGGGUCUUUCUGUUUAAAUAGUACUGCUGCAUUUGGUACAUUGGUUAUUGAGUUUUAAAAUGAUUACAAGAGUGAAUUUUCUUCCCAGGUAUAAGUAUUGUUUAUGCAUUUGAUUGGAAGAAAAAUGGAUUUCAUUUGUGGGAUUUGAGUAGUAAUUUAUACACGGUGUCUGCACUAAUAAGUUUUAGUGUACUAUAAGCUACGGUUGCGACUCAGUGAAAACUUAUUUUAGCAGAAAAUGAUAAUGUAUUUACUGGAUUCGUAAUCGUAAUGUUUUGAAUAUGGUUAGACAAUUGUGGUGGCUAAUUUAAUCUCAACCUUUUUAACUUACAGCAUCGGCUCUUUUUUAAGUUUGAUAUUCUUAUUUCAAAUAUUUUUGGUAGAAGUACUGUAUACCUAAAUUACUGUGUGUACUCAAUUGCUAUGUGAACUUGCCAACUUGGGUUGUGUACCGUGUGCUAAAUUGUGCAUCGAUCUCGAUUAACCUUGCUCAUUUUCUGUGUACUUAAGUGUAGUGCGUUUUUACUAUGGUUUAUGCCUAAUAUCCUUGCCAUCCCUUUUAGUUUAUAUUCAAGUAAUACCAAAUUGUAUCACUCAUCGGCUAAACUAGUGUUACUGUGCGUACUGCAUGAGCAAUGAUGGCGUUUCCAUGAGUGAGCUAAUUUAUUAACACUAUUUGGUUAUUUAGAGAUGUUAAGUUUGAAAUGAUCAUCUAUAGUUUCAAGGUAAAUAAUGCCCUCAACUAAGUGUUAGUCUGUAUUUAAUUUCAAGUUAGCUAGUCCAUGAAUGAUCGAGACACAUAUAUUCUUCUCUUAGGGUAGCUUUAGAGUUCAGAAGGAAUGUUCCGUUAGACAGAAAUGGGUAGAUAAAUUGGUACUGCUAAGUUAAGUACUAGAUUAUGAAUUUGGACAUCAUUAGUGGUAUUUGUGGAUCGAUAAUGCUUGUAUGAAAGUGAGCCAACUCGUCAUUAGUGGGAAAGACUGUUGGACUUACAGCAUACCGUCCUUUGCACUUAUGUUAAAAAUUCUGCAUUAGCAUGCUGCUGUGGUACCUCAUCUCUAUAAACUGUCUGUUUGUGGGAAUUGUAUUCAAGUUCUUUUAAAUGUUUUAAUAAGAAAAUGUCUCCAAGUGUUGUUAUUCAUUUGCUUUUGCUGGUAUCCAGUAUUAAGAACUGGUGAACAUUUUCUAGGGCCUUGUCGUGGCGACGACAAGUGAUCUAAUAUUCUUUGCUUCCAUCUGAUUGUCGUAAUUUGUUGAUAGGUGAAGCUUGUGAUUUUGCUUUCUGGCUUGAUGUGCUAUUUUCUGGACUUGUACCUUGGAGAUCUUAGAUCUCAUUUAUUUUCAUGUCUGCUAGUCUUGGUUACCUUGUGCGCUGACUUAGCAUCUUGGCUGCAUAAAUUGCGCUUGUUGAACAACAAAUAAAAAUGAUUGAUGUAGACAUGGCUAGUCUUGGUUACCUUGUAGUUAGGGUAGUAUUUCGGAAGAAAAGACGGAGAUCUCUGUUUUAGUACAAAGGAGUAGUAAUAGUAAUGGUUCCAAGCAGUAGCAUUCAUAUCUCACAGCGCCAAAGUAAGAUAAGGGUGGUUCACUGGUACUUAUUUGGUUUGCUUACAAAUAGUUUAGAAGUGAGUGCUAAAAUUUGUGCAAGAUAUUGAGAAAAGAGUAUUGUUGUGUUUUUGGCCUCAUCUUGAGAUUAAUGUUAUGAAGCAGGAAUUAUAAUAUCUGUAUCUGUAGCUGGUAGCUAAUUCUAGUUGGUUGGAUCAGCUAAGGACUACACAUCUGGAACUACAGUAAGACAGAAUUGCACAUGGCCAUAACCUGUCCAGUUCUGUAUUUUAUUUUCAAUACUUAAUUUAAACUUCAGUGAUAAGAUUUAAUGGCAUGACAUUUGAUUAUUCUUGCUGUUGCGUGAGACUUGAUUUUGCUCUAGCUAAUUCGGUGCUGCGAUAUCUCAUUUAUGAUACUGUUAGUGACGUGGCGAGUUGGGGAUAGUUGUUGCUAUGCAAUUCAUACUAUCCGCUGUUAGAUAUAGUUGCUACUAGAGGUAGUUCAUACUAUCUAAAUGAAUGAGAUGGACCGCGGUCGUGUUUAAUCCCUUCGAGCCACGGAGCAGGGUACAGAGGCAGCCGCUUUGCGGUUCAGUACAAUUCUGCAAGGUUGUUCAUAUCGUCGGAAAGGGGUUGGUUACUGCUUGGCAGUUCAUACCAUUUAUUCGGAGAUGAUUGCAACCUUCGCAAGUACAUAUCGUUGGUUAGAGGUAGUUUCAGUACUAUCUCUUCAUACUACAUAGUAAAGAAAUGAUUGUUGCCUCUCCUAGAUGAUUAUGAGGUAAUUCAUAUCAUCUGUCUCGACUUGUAAGUUAAGCAAUGAGGGGAUUCAUAUCAUCUGAGAAUAAAGGAUGGUUGCUGUUUAUGAUGAUAGUUCAUACGAUCGAUAUGGAAAUGAUUACCAACUCUUUUGAGUAGUUCAUAUCAUUUGAAAAAGAUGUUCUGUUGAGCUUGAGUGUGUAUUGUGAAUUGCCAGGCCCAACUGGGGCUCCCACCUACGGGUGCCUACCCGGAAGACCAUUGGCAACCGGCCAAUGGUGGCUGGUACCCGACUAGUCCGGCAAGAGAUAUUGUAUCCUCACAGUAAAACGAUGGGAGUAUAUAAGCAAUGUUUUCCUGCUUAUAAAGCAGUCUGGGAUAAAUCAGUGAACAUUUUCCUGGGAAAAUCAAAUUGGUCAGAGUCAUUUGGAAAUCUGGUUUCUCGAGUGGCGUUUCAGAGAAUUGGAGCUUUCCAAGCGGGACGUAACCCGACCGGUUGGAAGCAAAAAAAUUCUGGUCCGCCGCACCAAAUUUUAUGAUCUGUCUGGUCCCAGGCACAUAAGCUUGAGAUGAUGUGCAAAGGAGUGGAGAAAUGGUUGAACCAGGAUAAAUUUGGACUCAUAUGUAAUUUAUGCAGGAAAUUAUUGAAGAGCUUCCUGGGUCCGAUACAUGUUCAGAAUACGAGUUCUUAACUAGACAAAAUGACUACUCCAACUUCAUGCUAAAAGAAAGGGUAUAUUUCAAGGAAUUCAAUACGAAGAAGCUGCAGAUGGUGUAUUUAGAAAAUGUAAAAGGCUUAAGCUGUGUAUGGCUCAAGACCUUGGAUUCAGAAGACAUUUUCCUAAUGGCAAGCUAUGGAGCUCAAAGGUAUCAACACAGCUGGCUGGUGUGUUUUACAGUUUUAAGGUGUAUGAGCUACUUUGGCGUUUCAAUGACGUCUUGGCCCUGAAGCAAACCUUAUCUUUUGAGGAGCUCGAAGGAGAUAUAAAUCCCUUGUUUCAUGAUUCAUCUUUUAUGGAGAAACUUGAGAAGGAAAAUCUGGAGAAUAGAGACCUCAUGUUGCAUCGUAGUCACGGUGUGGUUGGCCAUAAUGUAACCCCAAGCGAUAAACCAAAUUCUAUAGUUUUACGGAAUCUUUCACCAAAGCUCAUCAAAGUGGAUACAGCGUCUGAAAAAGAAGCUGUACAAGCUAAACUAGCUUCUCAUACUUAAUAUAGGUGCACAGGGGUGGCUUUGACUAAGGUACAUAGAUCUUUGCUGAAUUUACUGACAGACAAAAGUUGCUGCCCUUGUCGAUCCCAACUUUGAUGCUGGAGAGUCAAAAUCGAGGGGAGGGAGAAGGAAAGACGCAGACACAUUGUCAAGUUCAAGAUAGUUGAAGAUUGAUAUGCUCCCAGUUAAUGAGUUAACUUGGCCUGAAUUUGCCGGUAGAUACAUUCUGCUUAUGUAUGUAAAGCAACCUGGAUUCUUCAGAAGUUUCAUCUUGUGAGAAUAUAAAGGUGUUCCAUUGCUUACAAGGUGAUGGUGGGAUGGUUCGCGACUCAAUAGCUGGAGUGGAUGGAAUUGAAGCAGAUGGCCUGAGGCUGGGUCCCUGAAGAGAGAAAAUGAUAUUUGGUCAAUGGAAUAUAUUGAUGAAGUUGAUGCCGCUGAAACAAUUGUUACUGCAGCAAUGCGAUUCCAGAGUGGGCAAAAGUCUUGGAACCUGCAAGAAAGCUACCCACUAAUGUUGAAACCAGGAUUAGGAAAUGUGUCUCGAGGCGUUGGAUAAAGGUCCACCGGAGUGGGUGAAAAAGAUAUUGCGACAUUCUAUUAGUAAGGAAGUAUACAAGGUGCAUCAGGGCCUACAAAGGUUUGGCACCACAUACGCACUGCUUAUGGAGACCGGCCAGAUUUGAUGCUUUUAGCUGAGCAAUAAUCUGGAGAUUUUGGAUCUCUGUAUGAAAAAGAAGUGUGAUUAUUUUCCGUGGAUCAAUCUCUCAAUGCAGUUGUACAUCCAUUUCCUGUAUUACCUUGUAAAUUUACUUUAUGGCAGAUUCUUCCAAACAGGUGCUUGAUCCUGUACAGAAAAUUAAGGAGCAUGCUGAUCCCUAAUGCUUAACUGCCGCACUAAAGAAGGAAUCAAUGAGUGGCAAGGAGAUCCCUAAAGCUCAUUGGGAUGGUGGUGUCGGCAGACUCUGUGGCAUCAACAAGAGUGAUGAAACUGUGUGGUCUGAGCAUCACACUUACUGCUUGAUACCUUUCUAUUCGAAACUGGUUAUUGUCCACAUAGGAAUUUCAGCUUUCAACUUAUACUCAGGUAGAGUUCCAUAAGGAUUCUGACUAGACUUCAACAUUCUAUCCUCAGUCCACCUUUUUCUCUUGCUCUUCCUCUAGAUUUCACUCCUGAUGGAUAGUCUCAAGUUUAUUUUUUUUAUAUGACAGUUCUAAGUUCAG